Molecule: ribosomal RNA, 235 nt
Filed under: Listeria monocytogenes
Lineage: Bacteria; Bacillati; Bacillota; Bacilli; Caryophanales; Listeriaceae
Description: partial 23S ribosomal RNA
Rfam family: Bacterial large subunit ribosomal RNA
Source: RNAcentral
UGGUGGGAUACUACCCUGGCUGUAUGACCAUUCUAACCCGCCACGCUUAGCGCGUGGGGAGACAGUGUCAGGUGGGCAGUUUGACUGGGGCGGUCGCCUCCUAAAGAGGAACGGAGGCGCCCAAAGGUUCCCUCAGAAUGGAUGGAAAUCAUUCGCAGAGUGGAAAGGCCCAAGGGAGCUUGACUGCGAGACUGACAAGUCGGGCAGGGACGAAAGUCGGGCUUAGUGAUCCGGG